This is a long non-coding RNA of Oryzias melastigma (Indian medaka), 454 nucleotides long. RefSeq lists it as uncharacterized. NCBI's taxonomy places the organism in Eukaryota, Metazoa, Chordata, Actinopteri, Beloniformes, Adrianichthyidae. The record is from RefSeq and is a predicted model, not a curated record. The transcript is spliced from 2 exons.
AAGAAAGCCCCUUACAAUGUGUAACAGGUGUUUUGUUAAGUUUAUUUAAUUCCACCAAAUUUUAUGUAAAUAGUCAUUUUUUUGAACAUUUCUACCUGGGUGUUAGUCUGUCCGAGGGUCCGUGAACUCACCACGGUGACGCAGCAGACAGUGCUGCACAUGCGCACUCAGACUGCUGCAAACUGUGGCCGAGGGGGAAGCACUAAUGAAAAAUCCCGGACAGCAGUGUAACGUGUGUGUUUUCUGUCAACCAGGUAUGAUGUUAGUUCUCAUUUUCUCAUGUUCUCUUUAUGUUUUAUUUCACGUGCUGUGGGGGGAGGCUGCACAUGCGCACUGAGACUGCUGCAAACUGUGGCCGAGGGGGAAGCACUAAUGAAAAAUCCCGGACAGCAGUGUAACGUGUGUGUUUUCUGUCAACCAGGCUUGAUAAUAAUUAAACAGAAUCAACAUCGGA